GACGAACGCUGGCGGCGUGCCUAAUACAUGCAAGUAGAACGCACAGUUUAUACCGUAGCUUGCUACACCAUAGACUGUGAGUUGCGAACGGGUGAGUAACGCGUAGGUAACCUGCCUGGUAGCGGGGGAUAACUAUUGGAAACGAUAGCUAAUACCGCAUAAUAUUAAUUAUUGCAUGAUAAUUAAUUGAAAGGUGCAAUUGCACCACUACCAGAUGGACCUGCGUUGUAUUAGCUAGUAGGUGAGGUAACGGCUCACCUAGGCGACGAUACAUAGCCGACCUGGGAGGGUGAUCGGCCACACUGGGACUGAGACACGGCCCAGACUCCUACAGGAGGCAGCAGUAGGGAAUCUUCGGCAAUGGACGAAAGUCUGACCGAGCAACGCCGCGUGAGUGAAGAAGGUUUUCGGAUCGUAAAGCUCUGUUGUAAGAGAAGAACGGGUGUGAGAGUGGAAAGUUCACACUGUGACGGUAUCUUACCAGAAAGGGACGGCUAACUACGUG
This 505-nucleotide ribosomal RNA is filed under the name uncultured bacterium. RNAcentral describes it as "partial 16S ribosomal RNA". It matches the Rfam family "Bacterial small subunit ribosomal RNA", at positions 28 to 507 of the family's 1533-position model. The record is from RNAcentral.